GUCGUCAGCUCGUGUCGUGAGAUGUUGGGUUAAGUCCCGCAACGAGCGCAACCCUUGUCAUUAGUUGCUACAUUAAGUUGGGCACUCUAAUGAGACUGCCGGUGACAAACCGGAGAAAGGUGGGGAUGACGUCAAGUCCUCAUGGCCCUUAUGCGUAGGGCUUCACACGUCAUACAAUGGUCGGUACAGAGGGUCGCCAACCCGCGAGGGGGAGCCAAUCUCAGAAAGCCGAUCGUAGUCCGGAUCGUAGUCUGCAACUCGACUACGUGAAGUCGGAAUCGCUAGUAAUCGCGGAUCAGCAUGUCGCGGUGAAUACGUUCCCGGGCCUUGUACACACCGCCCGUCACACCAGGGGAGCGGGUUUUACAGAAGUAGCUAGGCUAACCGCAAGAAGGCCGGUUACCACGGUAGGAUUCGUGACUGGGGGUGAGUCGUA
Molecule: ribosomal RNA, 436 nt
Filed under: beta proteobacterium BAC122P
Lineage: Bacteria; Pseudomonadati; Pseudomonadota; Betaproteobacteria
Description: bacterial SSU rRNA
Rfam family: Bacterial small subunit ribosomal RNA
Source: RNAcentral